This 927-nucleotide ribosomal RNA is filed under the name Triticum aestivum (bread wheat). RNAcentral's name for it is "partial small subunit ribosomal RNA". The record is from RNAcentral. Lineage: Eukaryota; Viridiplantae; Streptophyta; Magnoliopsida; Poales; Poaceae.
AUGGGGGGAGGUGAAAUAACAGCAGCAGCAGCAGAGGAAGAGGAUGAUGGGGUGCUGCUCUUCCCACCUCAUCUCUUUGACUCACUACAGGAGUUGGUCAUCUUUGAGUGCCCAGAGCUGGUCCUGGUCGACCCACCAACUCUUGUUCCUGGAGGAGGAGGGCUCCAAGCUUUGCGAUCCCUCCACAGAUUAACAAUAGAGCGGUCCCCAAAGUUUCUAUCCACCUUCUCCUUUUCCUGUCACAUUUUCCCUUCCUCCCUGCAGUCUCUGGUGCUUUGUGAUGUGAAAGGCUUGAGGACACUAGAGCCCCUCUCAAACCUCUCCUCUCUCACCACAUUAGUAUUGUUUGGUUGUGGAGAGGAUCUGAAAUGUCAGGGCUUGUGGUCACUCAUUAGCAUCGGUGGCCAUCUCCAAGAAUUAAAAGUCUCAGGCAGCCCUGGUUUCUUUGCUGAUUGGGAUCCCAAUCCCAGACGGGCUUUGGAGAACGUUGAAGGAGGUGAAGAGCAGCAGACACAGCUUGUUUCGUCCACACUGCGUGAGCUCAGGACAGAGGACAUAGCAGGACUUCUUGCUGCACCCGUCUGGAGAUUCCUCUCUUCCUCCCUGACCAAGCUGCAACUUCAUGGGGAUUGGUGUGAAGGGAUGGAUCGGUUCAUCAAGGAGCAAGAGGACGCCCUUCAACUCCUUUCCUCCCUCCAGGAACUAGAGUUUUGGAGUUUCAAGGACCUUCAACAUCUCCCUGCAGGGCUGUGUAACCUUACCAGCCUCAAGAUAUUAUCAGUUAACUUCUGUCCAGCCAUCUCGUCAUUGCCCAAUGAUGCCCUCCCGGAUUCACUGGAAAAGCUAGAUGUCUAUAAAUGCAGUGAGGUGCUAAAACAGUACUGCAGGGGGUUAGAGGGAACCAUCCCAGAAAUCAAAAUAUGGUGA